Molecule: non-coding RNA, 274 nt
Organism: Camellia sinensis
Lineage: Eukaryota; Viridiplantae; Streptophyta; Magnoliopsida; Ericales; Theaceae
Source: RefSeq, a predicted model, not a curated record
UGCCCUGUUAUUAUCCCUUACCACAAAGGUGGAAAACGAUUGCAUAUUGGACUUCAGGAAUUUGCUGAAGAUUUAGUUUUACGUUCUCAGGCAGUAACGGAUCAACUAAACUCCGUAAAGGUCAAAAUGCUUACACUAUGCCAAUCAAGAAACAAGGAUAGCCUUGAUGAAGUAUCAGAAGAUACCCAAGAAAAAGAAGAGAGAUCAUAUGGUUCAAUUAUGAUGGAGAGAUUGACUGGUAGUGAGGAUGGGCGAAUAGAUCAUGUGCUUCAAG